UCGUCCUUGCCUGUGCGUCCCUGCUCCCCUGUGCUCAGCCAUGGCAGGGAGGCCUGAGGCAGGACAUACAGUAUCUCCCUCUCAGUUUAGCACGGCUGUCCUAAGCACAGGGCUGGCUCUUAAAGGUAUGAGAAGACAUU
Molecule: small nucleolar RNA, 140 nt
Organism: Echinops telfairi (small Madagascar hedgehog)
Lineage: Eukaryota; Metazoa; Chordata; Mammalia; Afrosoricida; Tenrecidae
Source: Ensembl